UAUUAUGUCGGCCAUGGAAGCACGAGGUGACCUUGGACGAAUCAAAUUGCGGCAGAUUUUGUCCCACAGGCGCUUCAGGACACUAAUCGGCCUCUGAUUGGUUCUUUCGAGUUUUUCGGAUAAUCAUCAUUCAAAAGUGGAUAAGCUCGACCCUAAAUGGAUAAGGAUUAUCGGAAUGUAGAUAAGCAUCGGACCUAACGGAUAAGCUUGAGCCACUAUUCAAUCAUGGCCGUCCAUUCUCUCAUUUCGGCGAAACCUACUAUUUAUCACCGGUCCGCAAGAACAUUGAGACGACAUUCUCCGUCACCAAUAUCUCAAGAGGGUCCGUGAAACAAUUCAAGGCUUGCUUAGGACUAUAAUACGUUCCAUGCCAGAAUUGACCGAGCAUGCCAGCUAUCGUCACUCAUCCGCAUUGUCCAAUCAAUCAUUUUGACCAUACACGACCCACUCUCAUAUUGGACUACCCGAGAUCGAUUUCCCUCGACCCUCUAAGUUUUUCCCGACCCUUUAAGGUUUCCUAAACCAAAACAAAGGUUCCUUAAGCUACACUAGUUCUUGGGGUUUACCGAUAGUCGCAUCGUAGCUAAGCUUGGCCCGUCAGAUGGAGAUUCAUUCUUUUACCCAUGUACUUGAUCCUAUUCAAUGCUCCUUACCCAUGACUUACCACACUAAUUGGCCCGACUGAUCUUGCCUUCCCUUGGCUUGAUCUCGCAUUUUACUCGACAGAAUGCACGUUCGACCGUCCGGGUCAUAGUUAAGGUCCGAGGCAUUAUACAUAUGGUCAUCAUAUGGUUAAUUUUUACACACUGGAGAUAACAAAGAGGAUGAACCAUAUAUAUUGGAGUCUCAAGCAAGAAUGGUAUAUUAUGUACAAGAUCCUUCUUAGAGUGAUUGGAAGAUUGCAGUUCAUAUAUAUUCCGCAUAGAGACAUGUAUGACAUGGGAGAUAUAGAACAACCGAAUGAUGAAUUUGGCCCUCACAACUCCACUAAU
Molecule: long non-coding RNA, 992 nt
Organism: Arabidopsis thaliana (thale cress)
Lineage: Eukaryota; Viridiplantae; Streptophyta; Magnoliopsida; Brassicales; Brassicaceae
Product: other RNA
Exons: 1
Source: RefSeq